AGUUCAGGCGGAGGGUCGAAACGCCACGCACGAGUCCUCAUGCCGGCGGGCGCAGAGCGGGGCGCCAAGGGCUGCCCGCGGGGUGCACCUCUAGUCCACCAAGUCCUCUUUGCGGCGGGGAUCGGGGCGCGCCGGGGGAGCCGCCCUUCGCCCCCGAGGUCUGGGCGCGCAGGAGGUAUAGGACUCUGGGAUUUUUUGGCCAAAACUCCGGCUCGGGGUCCCCGCCGCCUGGAGCGGGAAAGUUGCGCGUUGGAGAAACAAACUUUUCCGUCCCCAGGGCAGCGCGGGGAGCUCGCGGACAGGUCCUCUGGCAGCAGAGAGGGAGCGGUGCAGAGGACCGGGGACUGAGGAAGGAGGAGUGCGGGACCGCUCCCCGAAGGUGCCUCCUGCCGAGGCCACCGAGGCCGUCCUGGAGAUGGCGUCGGCUCCUGAGUCUGCGGCGCCAAAGUGCUCCCAGGUGGCGCGGAGCGAAGGGGGUUUAAAUUUCUCCCUCCUCGCAAACGUCCCCUUGCUUCGGGCCGGAGAGUAUUGCGCCCAGACACCUCUCGAGGAAGGGAGAUUGGACUUUCCCAGAUUGGAGGGAAAUUUAGAGCUGGCAUUUACAGUUAUUGUAAAAGAAAAAAAAGUGUUUUGAGGAGAAGAGGUGAAGGGUAGGAGAGGAGAAGUGUUAAAAUUUCGACCAAACCACGAGAAACCUCACUUGUUUUAAGUUCGUGACAGUUUAUUGGCUUUCCCUAAAUGUCCUCAGAUUAGCCUGACAGCUCCUUACCUAAAAAUAUCGAGUAAAAGCCCCCAAACCAGAAGCAGUUAAACGGUGUCACUGAAUUCAAUCUCAGAGCGAUUAUGGAGUUAAUUCACAUAAUAAGCAAAUCACAGAGUUGACAGAUUAUUAUAUGAACACGGACAAAUUGUUACAUAAAAUAUUUUGAUACUGAUUGUUUUAUUAGUAAUGUUAAGCCCCUUUAUGUCUGUUUCUUUUUCCCGGGAUUGACAUGUUAUACAAUGCUCACUGCUA
RNAcentral lists this long non-coding RNA (1015 nucleotides) under Homo sapiens (human). Its description in RNAcentral is "non-protein coding lnc-LLPH-23:3". Lineage: Eukaryota; Metazoa; Chordata; Mammalia; Primates; Hominidae. The record is from RNAcentral.